AGUUGUUUGCCCACAUCAGACAACAUUUUCCAGUUUUGGGCUCCUUCGAGAUGUACAGGUCGAUAAAGGAAGCCUUCCCUCUACCUUCUGCCUUUCCCAAAUGCCAGAGUUGUGGUCUCAAUUGCUGCAGCCAAGCAUUUUAACAUGUAGUUUUGUCUCCAUGUGUACCUCGGCUUACCUUGCAACCGGUAAGGAUGUGUCUGAGAGAAGCAGGAGAUGAACAUAGGGGACAUGAUGGAUCUUCCCCCAACCACGGCUGGAGGUUAUUGGGUGAAAGCAGGACAUCAUAGGUUGCCCUGAGCAUGAAGCUGAUUGUAUUUGCCUCCAUCUCCCACAAUUCCCACCAGCUAAUCCAGCUUCUCUGUUCUCUUCAAGUUUGCCCACUGUCCCUGCUGAGCUUGAGUGACUGCUUUAGCAUGCCUUGCUGCCUCCUCCUGAUGCUGGACUUCCAGGAUUACCAGUUUUUGCCACUCUGAAGGUGUAGCCUUUUUCCACCGGAGUCUGCCCUGACACAGACCCAAACCUCCUCUUUCCUGUUCUACAUGUCCCACAAUGUCGGCAUGCUGGAGUGAUGAUUUUGCCUGUCAUCCUUUUUCCAUCCUGAUGUUAGAUGUGGUCCUGCGCAUCUGUAUUGAUCUAUCUCAGGACUCUGAGAGAGUCAUUUCUAGCCUUACUUUAGUGCAUUUGAACUCCUCUACCAGACUUGAGAUGAGCAACUUGAGAAUUCUGUGUCCAUACAGAAGGAUUGUGGAACACCUAAUCAUUUCCUCACAUAGGAGCUUAUUCUCUCCAUCUUCUCCACUUUUGUGAGGGUGAUGUCAACCAUGGAGUCUUUGAUGAACAGAAAGUUCAAACAUGUCUACUUUCAUGUUUCUAUUGGUCUCCAGAUAUGACUGAUCCCUCCUGUGAUACUUUUUGUGAUUUUUAAAAAAAAAUGUUUAGUGAAUCCAGUUAGUAGUCACUUGAUCAUUGAUACAGAAAAUACUCAGUGCCAAAACUGAAACCAAUAUUUUGAGUCCAAGGCAGGAGAUGCUGUUUACAGGAAAUGUAAUUAUAGAAAUGUCUGGAAAGGUCAGAUUGAAACUUAUAAGAGAAGUGAAAAGUUGUUCCUGUGAAAGUCUGCUAGUAAACAAUCUUGCGCUGUAGGAUAAAUGAACCUCUAUGCUGUUCAGGGCGUGACUGUAUGGCUGUGAAUGGUCGUAUUGAUUUUUGUGCCAGUCCUUAUCUGUGGUAUACUAAACUUGUGACCUAAAUAGGACCUAAAUACUGUUUACUUUUAUAAAGUAACACAUUGAACUACAGCCAAUAAAGUGGGCACAGCGCUGCAAUUGCAAAA
This is a long non-coding RNA of Megalobrama amblycephala (Wuchang bream), 1336 nucleotides long. RefSeq lists it as uncharacterized. NCBI's taxonomy places the organism in Eukaryota, Metazoa, Chordata, Actinopteri, Cypriniformes, Xenocyprididae. The record is from RefSeq and is a predicted model, not a curated record. The transcript is spliced from 2 exons.